GAACAUACCUGGAAGGAGAGACACAAUGAUUAUGAAGGUGGUUUUCCCCUGGGUGAGGCUUUUCCAUUGCACUCCGGGUGUGCUGCCCCUGUGAUUUCCCCAAAUGUAGGAAACCUGACAGCACAAUUUGUUGUAGUAGGGGACUGUGUUUGUGCUCCCACCUG
Molecule: small nuclear RNA, 164 nt
Filed under: Canis lupus familiaris (dog)
Lineage: Eukaryota; Metazoa; Chordata; Mammalia; Carnivora; Canidae
Description: U1 spliceosomal RNA (ENSCAFG00805005634.1, ENSCAFG00845005594.1)
Rfam family: U1 spliceosomal RNA
About the family: U1 is a small nuclear RNA (snRNA) component of the spliceosome (involved in pre-mRNA splicing). Its 5' end forms complementary base pairs with the 5' splice junction, thus defining the 5' donor site of an intron. There are significant differences in sequence and secondary structure between metazoan and yeast U1 snRNAs, the latter being much longer (568 nucleotides as compared to 164 nucleotides in human).
Source: Rfam by way of RNAcentral